GCCGGAGUAGCUCAGUUGGUAGAGCAAUGCUUUCGUAAAGCAGAGGUCGCGAGUCCGACUCUCGCCUCCGGCU
This 73-nucleotide transfer RNA is filed under the name bacterium. RNAcentral's name for it is "tRNA-Thr". It matches the Rfam family "tRNA". From Rfam's summary of the family: Transfer RNA (tRNA) molecules are approximately 80 nucleotides in length. Their secondary structure includes four short double-helical elements and three loops (D, anti-codon, and T loops). The record is from RNAcentral.